Molecule: ribosomal RNA, 253 nt
Filed under: uncultured bacterium
Lineage: Bacteria
Description: partial 16S ribosomal RNA
Rfam family: Bacterial small subunit ribosomal RNA
Source: RNAcentral
UAAGAAGGGGGCAAGCGUUAUUCGGAAUCAUUGGGCGUAAAGGGCGCGUAGGCGGCCGGGCAAGUCAGGGGUGAAAUCCCUCGGCUCAACCGAGGAAUUGCCUCUGAAACUGCCCAGCUCGAUGCCGGGAGAGGGUAGUGGAAUUCCCAGUGUAGCGGUGAAAUGCGUAGAUAUUGGGAGGAACACCAGUGGCGAAGGCGGCUACCUGGACCGGUUCUGACGCUGAGGCGCGAAAGCGUGGGGAGCAAACAGG